RNAcentral lists this ribosomal RNA (245 nucleotides) under uncultured bacterium. RNAcentral's name for it is "partial 16S ribosomal RNA". It matches the Rfam family "Bacterial small subunit ribosomal RNA", at positions 524 to 768 of the family's 1533-position model. The record is from RNAcentral.
AACGUAGGAGGCGAGCGUUAUCCGGAUUUACUGGGCGUAAAGGGCGUGUAGGCGGUUCGGCAAGUUGGAUGUGAAAGCUCCUGGCUUAACUAGGAGAGGUCGUUCAAUACUACCGAACUUGAGGGCAUCAGAGGAAGGUGGAAUUCCGGGUGUAGUGGUGAAAUGCGUAGAUAUCCGGAGGAACACCAGUGGCGAAGGCGGCCUUCUGGGGUGCUCCUGACGCUGAAACGCGAAAGCUAGGGUAG